This 460-nucleotide ribosomal RNA is filed under the name uncultured bacterium. RNAcentral describes it as "partial 16S ribosomal RNA". It matches the Rfam family "Bacterial small subunit ribosomal RNA", at positions 338 to 795 of the family's 1533-position model. The record is from RNAcentral.
CCUACGGGAGGCAGCAGUGAGGAAUAUUGGUCAAUGGGCGCGAGCCUGAACCAGCCAAGUAGCGUGAAGGAUGACUGCCCUACGGGUUUUAAACUUCUUUUAUAAAGGAAUAGAGUGAGGCACGUGUGCCUUUUUGUAUGUACUUUAUGAAUAAGGAUCGGCUAACUCCGUGCCAGCAGCCGCGGUAAUACGGAGGAUCCGAGCGUUAUCCGGAUUUAUUGGGUUUAAAGGGAGCGGAGAUGGGUUGUUAAGUCAGUUGUGAAAGUUUGCGGCUCAACCGUAAAAUUGCAAUUGAUACUGGCAGUCUUGAGUACAGUUGAGGUAGGCGGAAUUCGUGGUGUAGCGGUGAAAUGCGUAGAUAUCACGAAGAAUUCCGAUUGCGAAGGCAGCUUACUAAACUGACACUGACAUUGAGGUGCGAAAGUGUGGGUAGCAAACAGGAUUAGAUACCCGAGUAGUC